GCUGGCGGCAUGCCUAAUACAUGCAAGUCGAACGGUAACGGACCGCUGGGAUUCCUUCGGGAUGACCUUGGUGCCGACGAGUGGCGGACGGGUGAGUAAUACUUAGGAAUCUGCCCAGUAGUGGGGGACAACAUUCGGAAACGGAUGCUAAUACCGCAUACGCACUACGGUGGAAAUGGGGGACCUUCGGGCCUCACGCUAUUGGAUGAGCCUAAGUCGGAUUAGCUUGUUGGUGAGGUAAUAGCUCACCAAGGCGACGAUCCGUAGCUGGUCUGAGAGGACGAUCAGCCACACUGGGACUGAGACACGGCCCAGACUCCUACGGGAGGCAGCAGUGGGGAAUAUUGGACAAUGGGCGCAAGCCUGAUCCAGCAAUGCCGCGUGUGUGAAGAAGGCCUGCGGGUUGUAAAGCACUUUCAGUAGAGAAGAAAAGCCUAGGGUUAAUACCCCUGAGUCUUGACGUAACCUACAGAAGAAGCACCGGCUAACUCCGUG
This 495-nucleotide ribosomal RNA is filed under the name uncultured bacterium. Its description in RNAcentral is "bacterial SSU rRNA". It matches the Rfam family "Bacterial small subunit ribosomal RNA", at positions 35 to 507 of the family's 1533-position model. The record is from RNAcentral.